GGGGGGGGGGGGGGGGGGGCCGAGGGGAGGCGGGGCGGGGGGGGGGACGGGAAGGUUGCUUCUCUGAUGUUAGCGGCGGACGGGGGAGUAACACGUGGAUAACCUACCUAUAAGACUGGGAUAACUUCGGGAAACCGGAGCUAAUACCGGAUAAUAUUUUGAACCGCAUGGUUCAAAAGUGAAAGACGGUCUUGCUGUCACUUAUAUAUGGAUCCGCGCUGCAUUAGCUAGUUGGUAAGGUAACGGCUUACCAAGGCAACGAUGCAUAGCCGACCUGAGAGGGUGAUCGGCCACACUGGAACUGAGACACGGUCCAGACUCCUACGGGAGGCAGCAGUAGGGAAUCUUCCGCAAUGGGCGAAAGCCUGACGGAGCAACGCCGCGUGAGUGAUGAAGGUCUUCGGAUCGUAAAACUCUGUUAUUAGGGAAGAACAUAUGUGUAAGUAACUGUGCACAUCUUGACGGUACCUAAUCAGAAAGCCACGGCUAACUACGUG
RNAcentral lists this ribosomal RNA (497 nucleotides) under uncultured bacterium. RNAcentral describes it as "partial 16S ribosomal RNA". It matches the Rfam family "Bacterial small subunit ribosomal RNA", at positions 38 to 507 of the family's 1533-position model. The record is from RNAcentral.